RNAcentral lists this ribosomal RNA (1519 nucleotides) under uncultured Marinimicrobium sp. RNAcentral's name for it is "bacterial SSU rRNA". It matches the Rfam family "Bacterial small subunit ribosomal RNA". The record is from RNAcentral. Lineage: Bacteria; Pseudomonadati; Pseudomonadota; Gammaproteobacteria; Cellvibrionales; Cellvibrionaceae.
AGAGUUUGAUCAUGGCUCAGAUUGAACGCUGGCGGCAGGCCUAACACAUGCAAGUCGAGCGAGAAAGCCCUUCGGGGUGAGUACAGCGGCGGACGGGUGAGUAACGCGUGGGAAUCUGCCCAGUAGUGGGGGACAACAGCCGGAAACGGCUGCUAAUACCGCAUACGCCCUACGGGGGAAAGCAGGGGAUCUUCGGACCUUGCGCUAUUGGAUGAGCCCGCGUCAGAUUAGCUUGUUGGUGGGGUAAUGGCCUACCAAGGCGACGAUCUGUAGCUGGUCUGAGAGGAUGAUCAGCCACAUCGGGACUGAGACACGGCCCGAACUCCUACGGGAGGCAGCAGUGGGGAAUAUUGGACAAUGGGGGCAACCCUGAUCCAGCCAUACCGCGUGUGUGAAGAAGGCCUUCGGGUUGUAAAGCACUUUCAGCGAGGAGGAAAGCCUGAUGGCUAAUACCCAUCGGGGGUGACGUUACUCGCAGAAGAAGCACCGGCUAACUCCGUGCCAGCAGCCGCGGUAAUACGGAGGGUGCAAGCGUUAAUCGGAAUUACUGGGCGUAAAGCGCACGUAGGCGGCGAGUUAAGCUAGCUGUGAAAGCCCCGGGCUCAACCUGGGAACUGCAGUUAGAACUGGCUAGCUAGAGUACGGUAGAGGAGUGUGGAAUUUCCUGUGUAGCGGUGAAAUGCGUAGAUAUAGGAAAGGAACAUCAGUGGCGAAAGGCGACACUCUGGACUGAUACCGACGCUGAGGUGCGAAAGCGUGGGGAGCAAACAGGGAUUAGAUACCCUGGUAGUCCACGCCGUAAACGAUGUCUACUAGCCGUUGGGAGCCUUGAGCUCUUAGUGGCGCAGCUAACGCACUAAGUAGACCGCCUGGGGAGUACGGCCGCAAGGUUAAAACUCAAAUGAAUUGACGGGGGCCCGCACAAGCGGUGGAGCAUGUGGUUUAAUUCGACGCAACGCGAAGAACCUUACCAGGCCUUGACAUCCUUGGAACUUAGCAGAGAUGCUUUGGUGCCUUCGGGAGCCAAGUGACAGGUGCUGCAUGGCUGUCGUCAGCUCGUGUCGUGAGAUGUUGGGUUAAGUCCCGUAACGAGCGCAACCCUUGUCCUUAGUUGCCAGCACGUAAUGGUGGGAACUCUAAGGAGACUGCCGGUGACAAACCGGAGGAAGGUGGGGACGACGUCAAGUCAUCAUGGCCCUUACGGCCUGGGCUACACACGUGCUACAAUGGGCGGUACAAAGGGUUGCCAAUCCGCGAGGUGGAGCUAAUCCCGAAAAACCGUUCGUAGUCCGGAUUGGAGUCUGCAACUCGACUCCAUGAAGUCGGAAUCGCUAGUAAUCGUGAAUCAGAAUGUCACGGUGAAUACGUUCCCGGGCCUUGUACACACCGCCCGUCACACCAUGGGAGUGGGUUGCACCAGAAGUGGCUAGUCUAACUUUCGAGAGGACGGUCACCACGGUGUGAUUCAUGACUGGGGUGAAGUCGUAAUCAAGUACCCUAGGGGAACCUGCGGCUGGAU